CUGUUCAUCUUCAUCUCUUUUGAGUUUGUCUCUGUCUCUUUCUAAAGUAUCACCAUGAGAGUAUACCUUUGUCGAAUCACUCUUAUUGUCCCUGGCUUUGUCCCUAUUUCUAUUACUUCGCCUGUCCCUAUCCCUUUCACUCUCCCAAUCUUGGUCCCUAACUCUGUCCCUCUCUCUAUACCUAUCCCUGUCCUUCUCCCUCUCCCUUUUCCUUUCCUGAUCUCUGUGA
This 229-nucleotide unclassified non-coding RNA is filed under the name Hevea brasiliensis (rubber tree). The record is from RNAcentral. Lineage: Eukaryota; Viridiplantae; Streptophyta; Magnoliopsida; Malpighiales; Euphorbiaceae.